RNAcentral lists this ribosomal RNA (253 nucleotides) under uncultured bacterium. RNAcentral describes it as "partial 16S ribosomal RNA". It matches the Rfam family "Bacterial small subunit ribosomal RNA", at positions 524 to 776 of the family's 1533-position model. The record is from RNAcentral.
UACGAGUGCUCCAAGCGUUGUCCGAAGUUACUGGGCGUAAAGAGCGCGUAGGCGGGUUCUUAAGUGAGUGGUGAAAGGUUCGGGCUUAACCCGGACACUGCCUUUCAUACUGGGAACCUUGAGUGCGGGAGAGGCGAGUGGAAUGGUCGGUGUAGCGGUGAAAUGCGUAGAUAUCGAUCGGAACACCCAUGGCGAAGGCAGCUCGCUGGCCUGCAACUGACGCUGAGGCGCGAAAGCGUGGGGAGCAAACAGG